Strigops habroptila (Kakapo) is the source of this 1201-nucleotide long non-coding RNA. RefSeq lists it as uncharacterized. NCBI's taxonomy places the organism in Eukaryota, Metazoa, Chordata, Aves, Psittaciformes, Psittacidae. The transcript is spliced from 3 exons. The record is from RefSeq and is a predicted model, not a curated record.
UUCUGCACUUUCCCAGCUAGGAAAGGAAGAAAAAGCACCUCUAUCCCUGUCUCUCUAAGCACCGUCUUACUCCGAACGAGGCAGACAUACAGCAACGUGGCUGGGCUACGGGCUGUCACUUUGCUAGUGAAAAUAUGUGAAGAGGCAUCAUGCAAAGGAUUUGUGAAUAUUUGGCUGAAAUAAAUACCAGUCCUAAGCAUUCAGACCUCAAUCUUCUGAAUCAAGUAUUUCCAAUCUUCUUUCUGAUCCAAAUCUAUUUUAAAGCUGAAGAUGACAAGUUCUGUAACUCUUCCUCAAAUUUUCAGCUUGUUCCUGGGGUUCCGGUAGGAUCUGGAAGACAUGAACUAGCAAAGUUACACCACUGAGUCAUUCUGUGAGCACAGAAUCAGUGGAAAAGAAGUAUUUCCUUUGGAUAUUUGGUCAGAAGACUGAAGACCUAAGUGGAUUCUCAGAUGCCUAUUACUUUUUCCAGUGGGAUUAGUCUCUCUCUUCUCUGUCCAGGUGAAUGUUUAUACACUAAUACACACAUAAAAGCAAUGACUGAACAAUACUCUACUUACACCCACAUAACAAACUGAUAGAAACUGGCCAGCAGGUGGGAAAGGUAUUAGAGAGAAGGAGGAGAGGAGCUGACAGACAUUUCUUAGAAAACCAUGUUAGAAUAAGGCAUGGAAAAAUCCAGUCUGUGGGAAGGAUUUUAAAACCCUGUGUAUGAUUCAUGUUUUUUGGAGAGAAUACCAGAUUUUUCUAUUUAAAACAACAUCAUCAAAACAUAGGGCAGUGAUUUUUUUUGUUUUGUUUUGUUUGAUUGGGGGUUUUUGGGGUUUUUUGGUUUUUGGUUGUUUUGUUGUUUUGGGGGGGUUUUUUUGUGCUGUAGACUUCUUUUUGCAUUGCACCUUACAAAGAAACAGAAAAGGUAAGAUUCUUGGCUAUUGAAAAACUGACAGACAAGUAAAGGAAAAAUAUUCCCUUUCAGAAGGGAGAAGCCAGGAGAAAUUAUAUUUUAAUUUUCACAUCUUUAUACAGACAAGUUUGUUCCUACCCUGGAAAAGGUUGGGAGGAGGGGCGUGUAAAAUAGCUAAAGAUGGCCAGGAACAUGGCACACAACAUAGCAGACAGCUGUCUUGGGUGAAAAUCUGGGUUCAUACAAGGGCAGAAAGGCUUCUCUUGGUGCUAAUUGGUUCUCACCAGAGAAAGUAAC